CCUAUUUAUAUUGACGGCAUUUCAUUUUACUAGAGGAACCUGUUUUAUAAUCGACAAUCCACGAUAAAUUUCACUUUUAUUAUAAAUUUAUAUACCGCCGUCUAAAGAAUUAAUUUAAUAUUUUUAUUCUUAAUUAAAUAAAAAAAGUUAGGUCAAGGUGUAGUUUACGUAAAAGAAAAAAAUGGGUUACAUUAAAUUUAAUUUUUGGAUAAAUAAUAAAAUAUUAUUUUAAAAUAGGAUUUAGAAGUAAUUUUUAAAAAUAAUAAUAAAAUAUG
Molecule: ribosomal RNA, 275 nt
Filed under: Aglaoctenus lagotis
Lineage: Eukaryota; Metazoa; Arthropoda; Arachnida; Araneae; Lycosidae
Description: partial 12S ribosomal RNA
Source: RNAcentral